RNAcentral lists this ribosomal RNA (254 nucleotides) under uncultured bacterium. Its description in RNAcentral is "partial 16S ribosomal RNA". It matches the Rfam family "Bacterial small subunit ribosomal RNA", at positions 524 to 776 of the family's 1533-position model. The record is from RNAcentral.
UACGUAGGGGGCGAGCGUUGUCCGGAUUUAUUGGGCGUAAAGAGCUCGUAGGCGGUUUGGUAAGUCGGGUGUGAAAUCUCCACGCUCAACGUGGAGGGGCCACUCGAUACUGCCAUGACUCGAGUCCGGUAGAGGAGUGUGGAAUUCCCGGUGUAGCGGUGAAAUGCGCAGAGAUCAGGAGGAACACCCGUAGCGAAGGCGGCACUCUGGGCCGGUACUGACGCUGAGGAGCGAAAGCGUGGGGAGCGAACAGG